UGAAUUUCAAAAAAUUUCUUUGACUAAAAUAUCUUACGAAACCAUUGCUUGAGAUCUCAUUCAAAGAAAAAUGUACCAAAUAUCUUAUGUUCUUUUCUUUAUAUUAUAUAGAUGAUAUGAUAUGAACAGAGUUUGAGAUUUGAGGUUUGGAUUAGGGUUCAUGAUUUAUGAUUCAAGUUCAUGGUUCAAGCAAUUAAGGUUUAAGAUUGAGGAUUCAAGGAUCGGAACUCAAGGAUUGCGGGAAUCAAAAAUCAAGAAUAAAGAAUCAGAAAACAGGGUUGCAGCAGCUUUCGGUGUUGUUAAAGGUCUCGGAACCCUAAGUGGUGGACCACUCCUUGAGCCAAACAUUCAAAGCGCUAGACGGAACAAUUUAUGUGAGUGAGAAUCUCUUAAUUUUUGUUUCUGUUGCUGUUGGUUUAGAUUAAUGUCUCAAGACAGGCUUUUGAACGCUUUUCCUAUUGAUUGAUCAUAGCUUAAAUACAAAUUUCAAUUAUCAUAGCUUA
Vigna angularis (adzuki bean) is the source of this 503-nucleotide long non-coding RNA. RefSeq lists it as uncharacterized. The transcript has 3 exons. The record is from RefSeq and is a predicted model, not a curated record. NCBI's taxonomy places the organism in Eukaryota, Viridiplantae, Streptophyta, Magnoliopsida, Fabales, Fabaceae.